CGAAUGCUGACAUAAGUAACGAUAAAGCGGGUGAAAAGCCCGCUCGCCGGAAGACCAAGGGUUCCUGUCCAACGUUAAUCGGGGCAGGGUGAGUCGACCCCUAAGGCGAGGCCGAAAGGCGUAGUCGAUGGGAAACAGGUUAAUAUUCCUGUACUUGGUGUUACUGCGAAGGGGGGACGGAGAAGGCUAUGUUGGCCGGGCGACGGUUGUCCCGGUUUAAGCGUGUAGGCUGGUUUUCCAGGCAAAUCCGGAAAAUCAAGGCUGAGGCGUGAUGACGAGGCACUACGGUGCUGAAGCAACAAAUGCCCUGCUUCCAGGAAAAGCCUCUAAGCAUCAGGUAACAUCAAAUCGUACCCCAAACCGACACAGGUGGUCAGGUAGAGAAUACCAAGGCGCUUGAGAGAACUCGGGUGAAGGAACUAGGCAAAAUGGUGCCGUAACUUCGGGAGAAGGCACGCUGAUAUGUAGGUGAAGCGACUUGCUCGUGGAGCUGAAAUCAGUCGAAGAUACCAGCUGGCUGCAACUGUUUAUUAAAAACACAGCACUGUGCAAACACGAAAGUGGACGUAUACGGUGUGACGCCUGCCCGGUGCCGGAAGGUUAAUUGAUGGGGUUAGCGGUAACGCGAAGCUCUUGAUCGAAGCCCCGGUAAACGGCGGCCGUAACUAUAACGGUCCUAAGGUAGCGAAAUUCCUUGUCGGGUAAGUUCCGACCUGCACGAAUGGCGUAAUGAUGGCCAGGCUGUCUCCACCCGAGACUCAGUGAAAUUGAACUCGCUGUGAAGAUGCAGUGUACCCGCGGCAAGACGGAAAGACCCCGUGAACCUUUACUAUAGCUUGACACUGAACAUUGAGCCUUGAUGUGUAGGAUAGGUGGGAGGCUUUGAAGUGUGGACGCCAGUCUGCAUGGAGCCGGCCUUGAAAUACCACCCUUUAAUGUUUGAUGUUCUAACGUUGGCCCCUGAUCGGGGUUGCGGACAGUGUCUGGUGGGUAGUUUGACUGGGGCGGUCUCCUCCUAAAGAGUAACGGAGGAGCACGAAGGUUGGCUAAUCCUGGUCGGACAUCAGGAGGUUAGUGCAAUGGCAUAAGCCAGCUUGACUGCGAGCGUGACGGCGCGAGCAGGUGCGAAAGCAGGUCAUAGUGAUCCGGUGGUUCUGAAUGGAAGGGCCAUCGCUCAACGGAUAAAAGGUACUCCGGGGAUAACAGGCUGAUACCGCCCAAGAGUUCAUAUCGACGGCGGUGUUUGGCACCUCGAUGUCGGCUCAUCACAUCCUGGGGCUGAAGUAGGUCCCAAGGGUAUGGCUGUUCGCCAUUUAAAGUGGUACGCGAGCUGGGUUUAGAACGUCGUGAGACAGUUCGGUCCCUAUCUGCCGUGGGCGCUGGAGAACUGAGGGGGGCUGCUCCUAGUACGAGAGGACCGGAGUGGACGCAUCACUGGUGUUCGGGUUGUCAUGCCAAUGGCACUGCCCGGUAGCUAAAUGCGGAAGAGAUAAGUGCUGAAAGCAUCUAAGCACGAAACUUGCCCCGAGAUGAGUUCUCCCUGAGACUUU
Molecule: ribosomal RNA, 1550 nt
Filed under: Escherichia coli
Lineage: Bacteria; Pseudomonadati; Pseudomonadota; Gammaproteobacteria; Enterobacterales; Enterobacteriaceae
Description: partial 23S ribosomal RNA
Rfam family: Bacterial large subunit ribosomal RNA
Source: RNAcentral